GUCCUGGGGAAGUGUCAGUGAUGCCUGCUGCCAAAAACUGGGUUGGAUUUGUAUGAAGCUUCGGGACAGGGUAAUCCAGCUGAUCCAGUGCGAUGACUUUGACAUGUAAUAGACCAAGGAGUUCGUGUCAGGGUAUGGAGCCUUCAACUUGGACUGCCAGAUGUAGAAUAUCCAAUGGAGAAUUCUGAGGCCCAAGGUGAUUUUAGAACUACUACACGGAAGGAGCCUGUCCAGAGAUCUGCACUGUACUGCGAUCUGGUGCAGAUUGAGAAUUCUAGCAGUUUGGGAGAAGUUAAAGCCUCUCAACAGGGAACACUCUGCAUUUAAAGGAUCCUGUAAACUGCAGCACCAGGAAAACCAUAGUCCAAGUCUUCAUUCUUCAGCUUGCAGUCACGUCAUCACCAUAUGCUGUACACUAGAGUAUUUAUGGCUUGAAUCACACAUGGAGCCAGUCUUAUCUCAGGCAACCAUGCUGUCUGCAUCAGUAUAAGAUAAAACUGUGCUAAUGACAGGAGGGCAAGU
This 522-nucleotide non-coding RNA is filed under the name Pongo abelii (Sumatran orangutan). The record is from RNAcentral. Lineage: Eukaryota; Metazoa; Chordata; Mammalia; Primates; Hominidae.